Molecule: ribosomal RNA, 669 nt
Filed under: uncultured Lachnospiraceae bacterium
Lineage: Bacteria; Bacillati; Bacillota; Clostridia; Lachnospirales; Lachnospiraceae
Description: bacterial SSU rRNA
Rfam family: Bacterial small subunit ribosomal RNA
Source: RNAcentral
AGUCGAGCGAAGCGCUUUGCGGAUUCUUCGGAUUGAAGCAAUUGUGACUGAGCGGCGGACGGGUGAGUAACGCGUGGGUAACCUGCCUCAUACAGGGGGAUAACAGUUGGAAACGGCUGCUAAUACCGCAUAAGCGCACAGUACCGCAUGGUACCGUGUGAAAAACUCCGGUGGUAUGAGAUGGACCCGCGUCUGAUUAGCUAGUUGGUGGGGUAACGGCCUACCAAGGCGACGAUCAGUAGCCGACCUGAGAGGGUGACCGGCCACAUUGGGACUGAGACACGGCCCAAACUCCUACGGGAGGCAGCAGUGGGGAAUAUUGCACAAUGGGCGAAAGCCUGAUGCAGCGACGCCGCGUGAGCGAAGAAGUAUUUCGGUAUGUAAAGCUCUAUCAGCAGGGAAGAUAAUGACGGUACCUGACUAAGAAGCACCGGCUAAAUACGUGCCAGCAGCCGCGGUAAUACGUAUGGUGCAAGCGUUAUCCGGAUUUACUGGGUGUAAAGGGAGCGCAGGCGGUGCGGCAAGUCUGAUGUGAAAGCCCGGGGCUCAACCCCGGUACUGCAUUGGAAACUGUCGUACUAGAGUGUCGGAGGGGUAAGCGGAAUUCCUAGUGUAGCGGUGAAAUGCGUAGAUAUUAGGAGGAACACCCAGUGGCGAAGGCGGCUUACU